Long non-coding RNA from Drosophila pseudoobscura, 1345 nucleotides. RefSeq lists it as uncharacterized. The record is from RefSeq and is a predicted model, not a curated record. Lineage: Eukaryota; Metazoa; Arthropoda; Insecta; Diptera; Drosophilidae. The transcript has 2 exons.
AUUGCACUAUGGUCCAGAAUUCGUUUUUUUUGGCAUAAAGUCGAAAUUUUUAUGUGAAUGGAUUACGUUUUUUCUUGCAAAUUCUCAAAGUAAAUUCAUCAUACAUAUUAAAAAUGAAAAAAAAAAAAUUAUUUAGCUUCCCUGAAGAUUUUGGCGAGCUUUUGAAAGUGAACAAUCGAUCAGGUGAUUGUGGGAAAAAAAUUGGCGCCAAAUUACUUGUUUACAUUUUUACGUGGCGACCGAGUAAAUUUGCUCAAAUAAAUUCGGCUAAAAAUGGAAAAUGAAGAUAAAGAAAAUUUAACUGCGUCCCCUGUGUUUCGUAGAAUAUAACAAAUGAACUGAGUUCUGCUGAGAAAAACUAACUAUGUGAGUUUGUACCUACAAAUGUUGUAAUUGACUGGAAAGUAACAACUUUGGCCCGUUUUGGCCCCUUUUCUUUAAAUUUGUUAAUAUUCAGGAAAGUUCGAGUUUUUGCAUAGCGAUCUCAUCGAUAUUUGGCGCAACAACAAUCGACAAAAAAAAUCUGUCUCACAUUGGAUUUACAGUAAAAUCAAUAACAACCAUUUGGAAAAUGAAAAAAAAAGAGAAAUAGAUCAAAAAAAUCAGUAAUUUUGAAUCCUUCAUUAAAAGAAACCUUCUGAAGUGCAACAAAAUGAUGGAACGGUUUAUGACCACCCAUGCUAAAUGGAUGGCUUCUAAAAUAAUAAUUAUUGUUGAUGAAAAUUGUAAGACACCAAAGAAAAUGGGACGUCCAACAUUACAUUAUACAAAUGCAGGGACAAGAUUAAAAAGGAAACUGGCGUCUGAUCUUGCAAAUGAUAAUAAUAAUAACACGAAUCUUCUUAUGCAUGCUGCGGCAGUUUCUGCUAAGAAAGAACGCAAGACCGACGUGGCUUUUGUCGUAACAAAAACAAUUAGAACACCUGAAUACCCGACUGAAUCGAAAAAGCAUCUUCAAUUGCAAAAGCCCAUUCCUUUUCACCAGAGCUUACCUCCUGGAAAAUUCACUCAACAAACAGCAGUAUACAAACACUAGGCUUUUAAAUAAAAGGCAUAACUGCGACAUUUAUCCUAGCUAUAAUAAAGUAAUGGAAAAUUAGUGUGUAAUAAAUUUCCAUAGUUUAUAUAUAAAUAUUGAUAAUUUGAAAUAAGAUAUUAUAUAUGUAUAAUGAUUUAACAACAAAAUGUAAUAAAUUUGAAGUAUGUAAUUUAAACUUCCGACUUUAUGCAAAAAAAAAAACAAGAACAAGUACAAGUAUACAAGUAUAUGUGCAAAAUUUAAAAGCUCUAGCUUUAAUUUCGAGCUCUGUGUUAAACAAAUCUGAGGUGCUCUGGGGAAGGGGGU